This is a non-coding RNA of Podarcis lilfordi (Lilford's wall lizard), 86 nucleotides long. The record is from the annotation of a GenBank genome assembly. NCBI's taxonomy places the organism in Eukaryota, Metazoa, Chordata, Lepidosauria, Squamata, Lacertidae.
AGAUGUUGUUGGACUACAACUCCCAUCUUCCCUGACCACUGGUCAUGCUGGCUAGGAGUGAUGGGAGUUGUAGUCCAACAACAUCU